GGGGAUGUACCGGUUUCGACAGGGGGCCUGCAGUUGGUGAAGCUAUCCGCAGCAAUGCGUUAACUUGCAAACCUAAAUAUAAACGCUGAUAAUAGACAAUUAGCAAUCGCUGCCUAAUGGCAGCUGUCAGCCUUAGAGCACCUGCACUCUAAGAUCCUGGCAUCAUUCUAUGCGGGAAACGACGUAUAUUAAGCUUUGCGUAUACGGGCGUAAUAUGAAGCUACCGAACGCGGCAGUGUGUCUGCUCACGGCCGCCGGAGGGAAUCCCAAAUAACAGACUAUGAUAGUAGAAGAACAAUGAAUAGCCUUUUGGACAUGGGUUCGACUCCCAUCAUCUCCAU
This 341-nucleotide transfer-messenger RNA is filed under the name human gut metagenome. It matches the Rfam family "transfer-messenger RNA". Rfam says of the family: Bacterial tmRNA, also known as 10Sa RNA or SsrA, is named for its dual tRNA and mRNA-like properties. Its role is to liberate the mRNA from a stalled ribosome. To accomplish this part of the tmRNA is used as a reading frame that ends in a translation stop signal. The record is from RNAcentral.